This is a long non-coding RNA of Anolis carolinensis (green anole), 994 nucleotides long. RefSeq lists it as uncharacterized. Lineage: Eukaryota; Metazoa; Chordata; Lepidosauria; Squamata; Anolidae. The record is from RefSeq and is a predicted model, not a curated record. The transcript has 2 exons.
AUUAAUAAUAAACCCUUGGGCCAUUGAGUCCAAUCUAUUACUGUAUAUGCAUGUAUGUGACUAAGUUUCUGUGGGAUCACUACUUGUAUAUGUGUGUGUUAAGAGAAAAACACCUGGUCAAUUACAACUCAUGGUUGAGUAAUUGGAACAAUCAGGGCUAACAGGCUUGAGCCACUCCCUGAAUGGGGUAUAUCUGGGAAAUAUUUGUAAUGUCUUUUGGGGACUUACUGAAUGCUUGCUGAGAGCCUACUAUGAAGAUGCAUGAAUUUAAUGCAAGGGACUUUAUGGUCUUCAGGAAACAUCCCAGGAAAGCAUACUUUCUUGAUGCAACCCGUUGAAUGCCAUCAUACAAUGGAAGGUUACUUCAGUUGAGGAAGUGUCCUGGCAGAGUGCUGGGCUGCUUCCCUGUCAGGACCGUCGGUCAGGAGGAGAAGGAGGAGGAACGGGUUUACCUCCCAGUAGCUAAAGAAGAGCCUAUGGAGGAGGAACAGUUGAACCUGCUUGAAAACGAUACUGCCAUAAAGGGGCAGGUCUCUAAGGAGGCAACUAACUUAGAGCAGAAUGAAGAUCUUCAGGAGGAAAGGCUGGAGUUGACGUGCUCCGCCUGGCUGCAGAUGGGAGUAGACAUGAUCCAGCUGCGCUGGUCAAGGAGAUUGGCUCAACAGAAGGAAGACCAGCCAUUGAGUGGGUAGAGAUGAGCAUAAAGGAAGGAUGCUGAGAACAGAACAUUGCUGGAAGCAAUCAUAUUUGGAUGCUGUCAGCCAGUGAUUUGCAUUCUGGGAUCUGCAUUAUGCUACGUGGAGUUUUGAUGAGUUGUGUUUUGACCUCAGACAGAAUACUUGGAUAAUGUGUUUUGCCUGCUACUGUGUUUGGAAUACCUUUCAUAUAUGACCUUGGACUGCUUUUGGAUGCAUUUGUGAGCCGGCUGUGUAUUGAACUCGGACUGGUCUCGGUAUUCCCUGCUGCUUUAAAGAUUAAAGAAACUCUUUUUGUA